UGGCUCAGAUUGAACGCUGGCGGCAGGCCUAACACAUGCAAGUCGAGCGGAUGACGGGAGCUUGCUCCNNNAUUCAGCGGCGGACGGGUGAGUAAUGCCUAGGAAUCUGCCUGGUAGUGGGGGACAACGUUUCGAAAGGAACGCUAAUACCGCAUACGUCCUACGGGAGAAAGCAGGGGACCUUCGGGCCUUGCGCUAUCAGAUGAGCCUAGGUCGGAUUAGCUUGUUGGUGAGGUAAUGGCUCACCAAGGCGACGAUCCGUAACUGGUCUGAGAGGAUGAUCAGUCACACUGGAACUGAGACACGGUCCAGACUCCUACGGGAGGCAGCAGUGGGGAAUAUUGGACAAUGGGCGAAAGCCUGAUCCAGCCAUGCCGCGUGUGUGAAGAAGGUCUUCGGAUUGUAAAGCACUUUAAGUNNNAGGAAGGGUUGUAGAUUAAUACUCUGCAAUUUUGACGUUACCGACAGAAUAAGCACCGGCUAACUCUGUGCCAG
Molecule: ribosomal RNA, 495 nt
Filed under: Pseudomonas sp.
Lineage: Bacteria; Pseudomonadati; Pseudomonadota; Gammaproteobacteria; Pseudomonadales; Pseudomonadaceae
Description: bacterial SSU rRNA
Rfam family: Bacterial small subunit ribosomal RNA
Source: RNAcentral